GACGAACGCUGGCGGCGUGCUUAACACAUGCAAGUCGAACGGAAAGGCCCUGCUUUUGUGGGGUGCUCGAGUGGCGAACGGGUGAGUAACACGUGAGUAACCUGCCCUUGACUUUGGGAUAACUUCAGGAAACUGGGGCUAAUACCGGAUAGGAGCUCCUGCUGCAUGGUGGGGGUUGGAAAGUUUCGGCGGUUGGGGAUGGACUCGCGGCUUAUCAGCUUGUUGGUGGGGUAGUGGCUUACCAAGGCUUGGACGGGUAGCCGGCCUGAGAGGGUGACCGGCCACAUUGGGACCGGGAGGCGGCCCAGACUCAUCCGGGAGGCAGGAGUGGGGAAUAUUGCACAAUGGGCGGAAGCGUGAUGCAGCAACUCCGCGUGCGGGAUGACGGCCUUCGGGUUGUAAGCCGCUUUCGCCUGUGACGAAGCGUGAGUGACGGUAAUGGGUAAAGAAGCACCGGCUAACUACGU
RNAcentral lists this ribosomal RNA (467 nucleotides) under uncultured bacterium. Its description in RNAcentral is "partial 16S ribosomal RNA". It matches the Rfam family "Bacterial small subunit ribosomal RNA", at positions 28 to 506 of the family's 1533-position model. The record is from RNAcentral.